UACGUAGGGUGCGAGCGUUAAUCGGAAUUACUGGGCGUAAAGCGUGCGCAGGCGGUGAUGUAAGACAGAUGUGAAAUCCCCGGGCUCAACCUGGGAACUGCAUUUGUGACUGCAUCGCUGGAGUGCGGCAGAGGGGGAUGGAAUUCCGCGUGUAGCAGUGAAAUGCGUAGAUAUGCGGCGGAACACCGAUGGCGAAGGCAAUCCCCUGGGCCUGCACUGACGCUCAUGCACGAAAGCGUGGGGAGCAAACAGG
Molecule: ribosomal RNA, 253 nt
Filed under: uncultured bacterium
Lineage: Bacteria
Description: partial 16S ribosomal RNA
Rfam family: Bacterial small subunit ribosomal RNA
Source: RNAcentral